GGUUAAGCGACUAAGCGUACACGGUGGAUGCCCUGGCAGUCAGAGGCGAUGAAGGACGUGCUAAUCUGCGAUAAGCGUCGGUAAGGUGAUAUGAACCGUUAUAACCGGCGAUUUCCGAAUGGGGAAACCCAGUGUGAUUCGUCACACUAUCAUUAACUGAAUCCAUAGGUUAAUGAGGCGAACCGGGGGAACUGAAACAUCUAAGUACCCCGAGGAAAAGAAAUCAACCGAGAUUCCCCCAGUAGCGGCGAGCGAACGGGGAGCAGCCCAGAGCCUGAAUCAGUAUGUGUGUUAGUGGAAGCGUCUGGAAAGGCGUGCGAUACAGGGUGACAGCCCCGUACACAAAAAUGCACAUGCUGUGAGCUCGAUGAGUAGGGCGGGACACGUGGUAUCCUGUCUGAAUAUGGGGGGACCAUCCUCCAAGGCUAAAUACUCCUGACUGACCGAUAGUGAACCAGUACCGUGAGGGAAAGGCGAAAAGAACCCCGGCGAGGGGAGUGAAAAAGAACCUGAAACCGUGUACGUACAAGCAGUGGGAGCCUCUUUAUGGGGUGACUGCGUACCUUUUGUAUAAUGGGUCAGCGACUUAUAUUCUGUAGCAAGGUUAACCGAAUAGGGGAGCCGAAGGGAAACCGAGUCUUAACUGGGCGUUAAGUUGCAGGGUAUAGACCCGAAACCCGGUGAUCUAGCCAUGGGCAGGUUGAAGGUUGGGUAACACUAACUGGAGGACCGAACCGACUAAUGUUGAAAAAUUAGCGGAUGACUUGUGGCUGGGGGUGAAAGGCCAAUCAAACCGGGAGAUAGCUGGUUCUCCCCGAAAGCUAUUUAGGUAGCGCCUCGUGAAUUCAUCUCCGGGGGUAGAGCACUGUUUCGGCAAGGGGGUCAUCCCGACUUACCAACCCGAUGCAAACUGCGAAUACCGGAGAAUGUUAUCACGGGAGACACACGGCGGGUGCUAACGUCCGUCGUGAAGAGGGAAACAACCCAGACCGCCAGCUAAGGUCCCAAAGUCAUGGUUAAGUGGGAAACGAUGUGGGAAGGCCCAGACAGCCAGGAUGUUGGCUUAGAAGCAGCCAUCAUUUAAAGAAAGCGUAAUAGCUCACUGGUCGAGUCGGCCUGCGCGGAAGAUGUAACGGGGCUAAACCAUGCACCGAAGCUGCGGCAGCGACACUAUGUGUUGUUGGGUAGGGGAGCGUUCUGUAAGCCGUUGAAGGUGUGCUGUGAGGCAUGCUGGAGGUAUCAGAAGUGCGAAUGCUGACAUAAGUAACGAUAAAGCGGGUGAAAAGCCCGCUCGCCGGAAGACCAAGGGUUCCUGUCCAACGUUAAUCGGGGCAGGGUGAGUCGACCCCUAAGGCGAGGCCGAAAGGCGUAGUCGAUGGGAAACAGGUUAAUAUUCCUGUACUUGGUGUUACUGCGAAGGGGGGACGGAGAAGGCUAUGUUGGCCGGGCGACGGUUGUCCCGGUUUAAGCGUGUAGGCUGAUUUUCCAGGCAAAUCCGGAGAAUCAAGGCUGAGGCGUGAUGACGAGGCACUACGGUGCUGAAGCAACAAAUGCCCUGCUUCCAGGAAAAGCCUCUAAGCAUCAGGUAACAUCAAAUCGUACCCCAAACCGACACAGGUGGUCAGGUAGAGAAUACCAAGGCGCUUGAGAGAACUCGGGUGAAGGAACUAGGCAAAAUGGUGCCGUAACUUCGGGAGAAGGCACGCUGAUAUGUAGGUGAAGCGACUUGCUCGUGGAGCUGAAAUCAGUCGAAGAUACCAGCUGGCUGCAACUGUUUAUUAAAAACACAGCACUGUGCAAACACGAAAGUGGACGUAUACGGUGUGACGCCUGCCCGGUGCCGGAAGGUUAAUUGAUGGGGUCAGCCGCAAGGCGAAGCUCUUGAUCGAAGCCCCGGUAAACGGCGGCCGUAACUAUAACGGUCCUAAGGUAGCGAAAUUCCUUGUCGGGUAAGUUCCGACCUGCACGAAUGGCGUAAUGAUGGCCAGGCUGUCUCCACCCGAGACUCAGUGAAAUUGAACUCGCUGUGAAGAUGCAGUGUACCCGCGGCAAGACGGAAAGACCCCGUGAACCUUUACUAUAGCUUGACACUGAACAUUGAGCCUUGAUGUGUAGGAUAGGUGGGAGGCUUUGAAGUGUGGACGCCAGUCUGCAUGGAGCCGACCUUGAAAUACCACCCUUUAAUGUUUGAUGUUCUAACGUGGACCCGUGAUCCGGGUUGCGGACAGUGUCUGGUGGGUAGUUUGACUGGGGCGGUCUCCUCCUAAAGAGUAACGGAGGAGCACGAAGGUUGGCUAAUCCUGGUCGGACAUCAGGAGGUUAGUGCAAUGGCAUAAGCCAGCUUGACUGCGAGCGUGACGGCGCGAGCAGGUGCGAAAGCAGGUCAUAGUGAUCCGGUGGUUCUGAAUGGAAGGGCCAUCGCUCAACGGAUAAAAGGUACUCCGGGGAUAACAGGCUGAUACCGCCCAAGAGUUCAUAUCGACGGCGGUGUUUGGCACCUCGAUGUCGGCUCAUCACAUCCUGGGGCUGAAGUAGGUCCCAAGGGUAUGGCUGUUCGCCAUUUAAAGUGGUACGCGAGCUGGGUUUAGAACGUCGUGAGACAGUUCGGUCCCUAUCUGCCGUGGGCGCUGGAGAACUGAGGGGGGCUGCUCCUAGUACGAGAGGACCGGAGUGGACGCAUCACUGGUGUUCGGGUUGUCAUGCCAAUGGCACUGCCCGGUAGCUAAAUGCGGAAGAGAUAAGUGCUGAAAGCAUCUAAGCACGAAACUUGCCCCGAGAUGAGUUCUCCCUGAGACUUUAAGUCUCCUGAAGGAACGUUGAAGACGACGACGUUGAUAGGCCGGGUGUGUAAGCGCAGCGAUGCGUUGAGCUAACCGGUACUAAUGAACCGUGAGGCUUAACCUU
This 2904-nucleotide ribosomal RNA is filed under the name Escherichia marmotae. RNAcentral's name for it is "23S ribosomal RNA". It matches the Rfam family "Bacterial large subunit ribosomal RNA". Lineage: Bacteria; Pseudomonadati; Pseudomonadota; Gammaproteobacteria; Enterobacterales; Enterobacteriaceae. The record is from RNAcentral.